AUUUGCACCUUAUGGUGAUGGCGUCACGAAUCAGGGGCCCAGCCGUACAAUCACCCUAAACAUCACCAUCAAGGGCACCUUAACCAACAUCUGGCUGGUCUUCCCUGUAACCAGAAUGCCCUGGAGGAUUUUGUGCUGUCUUCCCGUCACCUGUACGCCAGCCCAGGGAGGCUCUGCUAACCCUCCUUACCAUCCUUCACCGGCAGAAUGGUUUGAAGAGGAUGGUCCAGAGGAUGUUCUUCUUUCCUCUCAGUAGUCUCAUCCUGCUGCAACCGGGAUGUCUCUGCCUCCUCUCGCUCUCUCUUGGCCUUCUCCACCGGCAGGUCUUCGCACAGUUGGCUUGCCAUCAUCAAUGCCGG
Molecule: long non-coding RNA, 359 nt
Organism: Bufo gargarizans (Asiatic toad)
Lineage: Eukaryota; Metazoa; Chordata; Amphibia; Anura; Bufonidae
Exons: 3
Source: RefSeq, a predicted model, not a curated record